RNAcentral lists this ribosomal RNA (253 nucleotides) under uncultured bacterium. Its description in RNAcentral is "partial 16S ribosomal RNA". It matches the Rfam family "Bacterial small subunit ribosomal RNA", at positions 524 to 776 of the family's 1533-position model. The record is from RNAcentral.
UACGUAGGUGGCAAGCGUUGUCCGGAUUUAUUGGGCGUAAAGAGCGUGUAGGCGGCCAGGUAGGUCAGCUGUGAAAACUCGAGGCUCAACCUCGAGACGUCGGUUGAAACCACCUGGCUAGAGUCCGGAAGAGGAGAGUGGAAUUCCUGGUGUAGCGGUGAAAUGCGCAGAUAUCAGGAAGAACACCCGUGGCGAAGGCGGCUCUCUGGGACGGUACUGACGCUGAGACGCGAAAGCGUGGGGAGCGAACAGG